GACGAACGCUGGCGGCGUGCCUAAUACAUGCCAGUCGAACGCUUCUUUCCUCCCGAGCGCUUGCACUCAAUUGGAAAGAGGAGUGGCGGACGGGUGAGUAACACGUGGGUAACCUACCCAUCAGAGGGGGAUAACACUUGGAAACAGGUGCUAAUACCGCAUAACAGUUUAUGCCGCAUGGCAUAAGAGUGAAAGGCGCUUUCGGGUGUCGUUGAUGGAUGGACCCGCGGUGCAUUAGCUAGUUGGUGAGGUAACGGCUCACCAAGGCCACGAUGCAUAGCCGACCUGAGAGGGUGAUCGGCCACACUGGGACUGAGACACGGCCCAGACUCCUACGGGAGGCAGCAGUAGGGAAUCUUCGGCAAUGGACGAAAGUCUGACCGAGCAACGCCGCGUGAGUGAAGAAGGUUUUCGGAUCGUAAAACUCUGUUGUUAGAGAAGAACAAGGACGUUAGUAACUGAACGUCCCCUGACGGUAUCUAACCAGAAAGCCACGGCUAACUACGUG
Molecule: ribosomal RNA, 508 nt
Filed under: uncultured bacterium
Lineage: Bacteria
Description: partial 16S ribosomal RNA
Rfam family: Bacterial small subunit ribosomal RNA
Source: RNAcentral